GACGAACGCUGGCGGCGUGCUUAACACAUGCAAGUCGAACGGAAAGGCCCUGCUUUUGUGGGGUGCUCGAGUGGCGAACGGGUGAGUAGCACGUGAGUAACCUGCCCUUGACUUUGGGAUAACUUCAGGAAACUGGGGCUAAUACCGGAUAGGAGCUCCUGCUGCAUGGUGGGGGUUGGAAAGUUUCGGCGGUUGGGGAUGGACUCGCGGCUUAUCAGCUUGGUGGUGGGGUAGUGGCUUACCAAGGCUUUGACGGGUAGCCGGCCUGAGAGGGUGACCGGCCACAUUGGGACUGAGAUACGGCCCAGACUCCUACGGGAGGCAGCAGUGGGGAAUAUUGCACAAUGGGCGGAAGCCUGAUGCAGCAACGCCGCGUGCGGGAUGACGGCCUUCGGGUUGUAAACCGCUUUCGCCUGUGACGAAGCGUGAGUGACGGUAAUGGGUAAAGAAGCACCGGCUAACUACGUG
This 468-nucleotide ribosomal RNA is filed under the name uncultured bacterium. RNAcentral describes it as "partial 16S ribosomal RNA". It matches the Rfam family "Bacterial small subunit ribosomal RNA", at positions 28 to 507 of the family's 1533-position model. The record is from RNAcentral.